ACGGAAGGCAGCAGUGGGGAAUAUUGGGCAAUGGGCGCAAGCCUGACCCAGCAACGCCGCGUGAAGGAAGAAGGUCUUCGGAUUGUAAACUUUUGUCCUAUGGGACGAUAAUGACGGUACCAUGGGAGGAAGCCACGACUAACUACGUGCCAGCAGUCGCGGUAAUACGUAGGUGGCAAGCGUUAUCCGGAAUUACUGGGUGUAAAGGGUGCGUAGGCGGGAUGUAAAGUCAGAUGUGAAAUUCCAUGGCUUAACUGUGGACCUGCAUUUGAAACUUACGUUCUUGAGUGAAGUAGAGGCAAGCGGAAUUCCUAGUGUAGCGGUGAAAUGCGUAGAUAUUAGGAGGAACACCAGUGGCGAAGGCGGCUUGCUGGGCUUUUACUGACGCUGAGGCACGAAAGUGCGGGGAGCAAACAGGAUUAGAUACCCUGGUA
This 434-nucleotide ribosomal RNA is filed under the name uncultured Oscillospiraceae bacterium. Its description in RNAcentral is "bacterial SSU rRNA". It matches the Rfam family "Bacterial small subunit ribosomal RNA", at positions 341 to 792 of the family's 1533-position model. The record is from RNAcentral. Lineage: Bacteria; Bacillati; Bacillota; Clostridia; Eubacteriales; Oscillospiraceae.